AUGGGUGUGUGUGUGUGUGUUGUGUGGGGGUGCUCGGUGCCUCAGUGGCGGCCCACGAGUAAAGUCCCUGGCCAAGAGGCAGACGGAGGACUGGAGCGCUACCCCAUGGCAGGCCGACAGGAGGAUAAGAUGCGAUCGGAAGGAUGCGAAAAGACUGGAUGGGGAAUUGAGGGGGCUGGAGAGGCCCGAGCUGCCUGUCUGCCCCUGGGAGAAGGAGGAGACGUCCCCAAACUGCCCCUACCUCUCAAGCGCGGGGUUGGGGGGAGUGGUCGGCGCAGCCCUGCAGAGGAGACCGAGGUCCUGUAUGGAUCGUAAUGCUUGGGGAAUGAUUGACUUAAAAUAGUAACCAGUCUGAUGCUAGAGCCAACUCAGACCACCUCUCAAAAACUUACUGGUAAGUUUUCAGGGUGAGCAUUUACACUUUGAAAAAGGGGAAAUGCUACAAACGAAGCACUUAAUUUAU
This 463-nucleotide long non-coding RNA is filed under the name Phascolarctos cinereus (koala). RNAcentral describes it as "lncRNA (ENSPCIG00000028558.2)". Lineage: Eukaryota; Metazoa; Chordata; Mammalia; Diprotodontia; Phascolarctidae. The record is from RNAcentral.